Long non-coding RNA from Pipra filicauda (Wire-tailed manakin), 517 nucleotides. RefSeq lists it as uncharacterized. The record is from RefSeq and is a predicted model, not a curated record. The transcript has 3 exons. Lineage: Eukaryota; Metazoa; Chordata; Aves; Passeriformes; Pipridae.
AGGCCUCCCCGCAGCUGCCAGCCCGGUCGAGGCCCCGGCGGCGGCUCCGCCCGCACCGGAAGGGCAGCGGAGCCGCCCCGGCCGAGGGGAGGGGACAGCGGGGCGGGCGGGCGGCUCUUCGCGGCGCUCCCCCCACGGCGGUACCUGCGCUGGAAGUCGGUCCGGAAGGGCGUCAGGUCCUGAGCUUGGCAGUCUUCCUGAUGCAGAUGAGAGAGGGGGCUUGCUUUAGGACAAGUCUUCAGCCCCUGAGGUCUUCAUGAGAAGAACAGUGAUGUUGCUGUUGCAGGAUUAAAAUUCCUCAGUCUGGGCUGCACACAGUUAAAAUACUGAACAACUCUUAAAAUCCAUGGUUUCUCUUUUGCUCCCUGACCUAUGGAGUCCUUCAGCUCUCUCCUCAGUAACUCCUGUGUUGUCAUCUGAUUCAACACGUGUACAAGGAAAACUGAAAGAAUGAGCUGAGUCAUUCUCUAAAUCGGGACCAUCCUCCUCUGAACACAAAACCUUCCUCUGCAGCACU